AGAAUGUUUAAUAAUUUAUGUAAAGAAUUCCAUAUUUCUGAAUGUUUAGAUUUACACAGAAAGAAUAACACAAAAAAUAUUUGUUUCUGUGCAGUCAUUUUCCCAGCACACAUUCCCCAGAGUGGAGUCACUGUGUCAACAGGUGCUGACAUUUUCAGGGCUGUGGUCUGGAUUCCAGAUUGCUCUCUAGGGAGGUGGCUGCAGCGUGUGUUAUCCAGCACCCUUGGAAUGGGGCUGUGGCCAGAGUCCACAUCUUCCUGCUGGUGACAGACCUUCUCAAAACCCAGGCUAACAUGUAAAAUGGACAUCUGGCCGGGAGAAAUCGAGGCACAAAGGAGACACAGAAGACAUGUCUGCUGCUGGCAGCACCAGUAGUCUUCUUCAAAACAGGAUGAUGGACAUCAAAGAACCUCCAUAUGGUGUUUUCUUUUAUUGUGGUAAAGUUAGCCACUGAGCAAGAACCUGCCCUUGCUUCUACUGCUGACAGUAUGCUGCCCUGCAAUGGAUUUUCUUUUACUCUUUUCCCAUGUUAGAAUGCCCAAACGUUGUUGUUGUUUUUUCCCCUCUUUGGCUAUUUGCUCUUGGGAGGCCCACCACCCAGCUCCCAAAUAAAUGACGCAUGAGUUUUGUUCUUA
Molecule: long non-coding RNA, 635 nt
Organism: Phodopus roborovskii (desert hamster)
Lineage: Eukaryota; Metazoa; Chordata; Mammalia; Rodentia; Cricetidae
Exons: 2
Source: RefSeq, a predicted model, not a curated record